Long non-coding RNA from Perognathus longimembris pacificus (Pacific pocket mouse), 158 nucleotides. RefSeq lists it as uncharacterized. The record is from RefSeq and is a predicted model, not a curated record. Lineage: Eukaryota; Metazoa; Chordata; Mammalia; Rodentia; Heteromyidae. The transcript is spliced from 3 exons.
CUUAGGAUGUUGAGAGACUGGCAUCCAGUAUCACUUCUGUCCCAUACUUUUCCAUUACUUCCUUAUUUUGGAAAGCAUAGGAAGAGCAUAAAAUCCAAUAGCUUGGAAAAAUAAUUUAAUCUCCCUGGAUUCAAUAGCUAGGAAAAAAAAUUUAAUCU